GUGUUAAGUGGAAAAGGAUGUGGGAUUUCAUAGACAACUAGGAUGUUGGCUUAGAAGCAGCCAUACAUUUAAAGAGUGCGUAAUAGCUCACUAGUCGAGAAAACCUGCGCCGAAAAUGUAACGGGGCUAAAACACGACACCGAAGCUACGGAUUCCUUACAAAGUAAGGAGUGGUAGAGGAGCAUCCUGCAAGGACGAAGCCAAAGUGAGAGCGAUGGUGGACGAAACAGGAGAGAGAAUGCCGGAAUGAGUAGCGAGAUACAUGUGAGAAACAUGUAGGCCGAAUAUCUAAGGAUUCCUGGGUAAAGCUAAUCUUCCCAGGGUUAGUCGGGGCCUAAGGCGAGGACGAAAGUCGUAGUCGAUGGAUAACAGGUUGAUAUUCCUGUACUACACAUAAUCAGAACUGUGGGGACGCAGAAGGAUAGGGAAACCGGGGAAUGGAAAGACCCGGUCAAGCGUAAAGCUGUGGGAGAUAGGCAAAUCCGUCUUCUGUAAGUGAAACGUGAUGAGGACUGAAAAAAAGUAAGGAAGUUUCCGAAUCCACACUGCCGAGAAAAGCCGCUAUUGCGUUAUGUGUACCCGUACCGUAAACCGACACAGGUAGAUGAGGAGAAAAUCCACAGGCCGACGGGAGAAGUGUUGUUAAGGAACUCGGCAAAAUGACCCCGUAACUUCGGGAUAAGGGGAGCCUCGCAAGAGGCCGCAGAAAAGAGGCACAAGCAACUGUUUAGCAAAAACAUAGGUCUAUGCGAAACCGUAAGGUGAAGUAUAUGGGCUGACACCUGCCCGGUGCUGGAAGGUUAAAAGGAGAGGUCAGCGCAAGCGAAGCUUUGAAUUCAAGCCCCAGUAAACGGCGGCCGUAACUAUAACGGUCCUAAGGUAGCGAAAUUCCUUGUCAGGUAAGUUCUGACCCGCACGAAAGGCGUAAUGAUUUGUGCACUGUCUCGACAACACGCCCGGUGAAAUUGAAGAACCAGUGAAGAUACUGGUUACCCGCAACAGGACGGAAAGACCCCAUGGAGCUUUACUGCAGCCUGAUACUGGGAUUCGAUGAUAUAUGUACAGGAUAGGUGGGAGGCUAAGAAGCGAGAACGCUAGUUUUCGUGGAGCCGCCGGUGGGAUACCACUCUUAUGUCAUUGAAUUUCUAACCUGCAUCCGUAAUCCGGGUGAGGGACAAUGUCAGGCGGGCAGUUUGACUGGGGCGGUCGCCUCCUAAAAGGUAACGGAGGCGCUCGAAGGUCACCUCAGAAUGAUUGGAAACCAUUCAAAGAGUGUAAAGGCAAAAGGUGGCUUGACUGCGAGAGCGACGGCUCGAGCAGGUACGAAAGUAGGACUUAGUGAUCCGGUGGUAAUAAGUGGGAAUGCCAUCGCUCAACGGAUAAAAGCUACCCUGGGGAUAACAGGCUUAUCUCCCCCAAGAGUUCACAUCGACGGGGAGGUUUGGCACCUCGAUGUCGGCUCAUCGCAUCCUGGGGC
RNAcentral lists this ribosomal RNA (1477 nucleotides) under gut metagenome. Its description in RNAcentral is "bacterial LSU rRNA". It matches the Rfam family "Bacterial large subunit ribosomal RNA", at positions 1056 to 2553 of the family's 2925-position model. The record is from RNAcentral.